This 442-nucleotide ribosomal RNA is filed under the name uncultured soil bacterium. Its description in RNAcentral is "bacterial SSU rRNA". It matches the Rfam family "Bacterial small subunit ribosomal RNA", at positions 35 to 477 of the family's 1533-position model. The record is from RNAcentral.
GCUGGCGGCGCGCUUAACACAUGCAAGUCGAGCGAUAACCAUGGCUUCGGCCAUGGGGAGAGCGGCGAACGGGUGAGUAACACGUGAGUGAUCUGCCCUCGACACCGGGAUAGCCCGGGGAAACCCGGAUUAAUACCAGAUAGCCUUUCGAGCCUACGGGCUCGUCAGAAAAGAUGGCUUCGGCUUUCGGUUGAGGAGGAGCUUGCGGCGGAUUAGCUUGUUGGUGGGGUAAUGGCUCACCAAGGCGACGAUCCGUAGCUGGUCUGAGAGGACGAUCAGCCACACUGGGACUGAGACACGGCCCAGACUCCUACGGGAGGCAGCAGUGGGGAAUCUUGCGCAAUGGGCGAAAGCCUGACGCAGCGACGCCGCGUGAGGGAAGAAGGCCUUCGGGUUGUAAACCUCUUUCAGGAGGGACGAAGCUACUCGGGUUAAUACCCCA